RNAcentral lists this ribosomal RNA (643 nucleotides) under uncultured Actinomycetes bacterium. RNAcentral describes it as "bacterial SSU rRNA". It matches the Rfam family "Bacterial small subunit ribosomal RNA", at positions 232 to 885 of the family's 1533-position model. The record is from RNAcentral. Lineage: Bacteria; Bacillati; Actinomycetota; Actinomycetes.
CGCGGCCUAUCAGCUUGUUGGUGAGGUAACGGCUCACCAAGGCAUCGACGGGUAGCUGGUCUGAGAGGAUGAUCAGCCACACUGGGACUGAGACACGGCCCAGACUCCUACGGGAGGCAGCGGUAGGGAAUCUUGCGCAAUGGGCGAAAGCCUGACGCAGCAACGCCGCGUGGGGGAUGACGGCCUUCGGGUUGUAAACCUCUUUUAGCAGGGAAGAAGCGCAAGUGACGGUACCUGCAGAAAAAGCACCGGCUAACUACGUGCCAGCAGCCGCGGUAAUACGUAGGGUGCAAGCGUUGUCCGGAAUUAUUGGGCGUAAAGAGCUCGUAGGCGGUUUGUCGCGUCUGCUGUGAAAAUCCGAGGCUCAACCUCGGACCUGCAGUGGGUACGGGCAAACUAGAGUGCGGUAGGGGAGAUUGGAAUUCCUGGUGUAGCGGUGGAAUGCGCAGAUAUCAGGAGGAACGCCAAUGGCGAAGGCAGAUCUCUGGGCCGUAACUGACGCUGAGGAGCGAAAGCGUGGGGAGCGAACAGGAUUAGAUACCCUGGUAGUCCACGCCGUAGACGGUGGGAACUAGAUGUGGGGUCCGUUCCACGGAUUCCGUGUCGCAGCUAACGCAUUAAGUUCCCCGCCUGGGGAGUACGG